This 461-nucleotide ribosomal RNA is filed under the name uncultured bacterium. RNAcentral describes it as "partial 16S ribosomal RNA". It matches the Rfam family "Bacterial small subunit ribosomal RNA", at positions 339 to 795 of the family's 1533-position model. The record is from RNAcentral.
CUACGGGAGGCUGCAGUCAAGAAUCUUCCGCAAUGGACGAAAGUCUGACGGAGCGACGCCGCGUGCGGGAUGAAGGCCUUCGGGUUGUAAACCGCUGUCAGUGGGGAGGAAAUGCAUCAGGGUUCUCCCUGGUGUUUGACCGAUCCGCAGAGGAAGCGCAGGCUAAGUUCGUGCCAGCAGCCGCGGUAACACGAACUGCGCGAACGUUAUUCGGAAUCACUGGGCUUAAAGAGUUCGUAGGCGGCCUUUCAAGUCGGGUGUGAAAUCCCUCGGCUCAACCGGGGAAUUGCGCCUGAGACUGUUGGGCUUGAGGGGGAUAGGGGUGAGCGGAACUGAUGGUGGAGCGGUGAAAUGCGUUGAUAUCAUCAGGAACACCGGUGGCGAAGGCGGCUCACUGGAUCUCUUCUGACGCUGAGGAACGAAAGCUAGGGGAGCGAACGGGAUUAGAUACCCUUGUAGUC